RNAcentral lists this ribosomal RNA (241 nucleotides) under uncultured Staphylococcus sp. RNAcentral describes it as "partial 16S ribosomal RNA". It matches the Rfam family "Bacterial small subunit ribosomal RNA", at positions 100 to 334 of the family's 1533-position model. Lineage: Bacteria; Bacillati; Bacillota; Bacilli; Caryophanales; Staphylococcaceae. The record is from RNAcentral.
GGGACGGGUGAGUAACACGUGGAUAACCUACCUAUAAGACUGGGAUAACUUCGGGAAACCGGAGCUAAUACCGGAUAAUAUAUUGAACCGCAUGGUUCAAUAGUGAAAGACGGUUUUGCUGUCACUUAUAGAUGGAUCCGCGCCGCAUUAGCUAGUUGGUAAGGUAACGGCUUACCAAGGCAACGAUGCGUAGCCGACCUGAGAGGGUGAUCGGCCACACUGGAACUGAGAUACGGCCCAG